UUAAGUAGAAGCUAUCGAGAUUCGAGACAGUGCAUACUUCAGAAACAAACACCCGUGCGGUGUUCUAGUACAGCUUCAGAAAAGGAAUUCUAGCACUUCUCUGCUUAGAUUUAGGGCCUGUUUGGAGACUCUCCCGCUCUCCAAAUCCGCUCCAGGAGUUGGUGGAGCUGUAGCUAAAAAUGAUGGAGUGGGGAAAAGGCAGCUCCACAAAUUCUCAGAUUUCAGGGAGCUGGAGGACUGCCGAACAGCCCCUUAGGGCCUGGUUCUCCCCGAAUUGUACUGCAUAAUUUGCAGUUUUUCUUGCUAUUUGAUGAUCUGAAUCGUACCACAGGAAAAUAAUGUAUCGGGGAAAAGAAAGUAUGGAGAAAAUAACUUGAAUCGUGCCACAGUUUGAAAUUUAAUACUCUUUAUGACUGACAUGUGGCAGCCUUGAAUAUCCCUCAAAUAAACAAUAUUCAUG
Molecule: long non-coding RNA, 460 nt
Filed under: Triticum aestivum (bread wheat)
Lineage: Eukaryota; Viridiplantae; Streptophyta; Magnoliopsida; Poales; Poaceae
Description: long non-coding RNA (TAES_LNC007374)
Source: RNAcentral